This 502-nucleotide ribosomal RNA is filed under the name uncultured bacterium. Its description in RNAcentral is "partial 16S ribosomal RNA". It matches the Rfam family "Bacterial small subunit ribosomal RNA", at positions 28 to 507 of the family's 1533-position model. The record is from RNAcentral.
GACGAACGCUGGCGGCGUGCUUAACACAUGCAAGUCGAACGGUGCAGGGGUCUGCUUUUGUGGGCCCUGGCUGAGUGGCGGACGGGUGAGUAACACGUGCGUAACCUGCCCCCUUCUUCUGGAUUACCGCAUGAAAGUGUGGCUAAUACGAGAUAUUCUGGGUCUGUCGCAUGAUGGGUCUGGGAAAGAUUGCGCCUUUGGGUGUUUUUGGUGGGGGAUGGGCUCGCGGCCUAUCAGCUUGUUGGUGGGGUGAUGGCCUACCAAGGCGGUGACGGGUAGCCGGCCUGAGAGGGUGGACGGUCACACUGGGACUGAGACACGGCCCAGACUCCUACGGGAGGCAGCAGUGGGGAAUAUUGCACAAUGGGCGCAAGCCUGAUGCAGCGACGCCGCGUGAGGGAUGGAGGCCUUCGGGUUGUAAACCUCUUUCGCCAGUGAAGCAGGCCUGCUCCUUGUGGGUGGGUUGACGGUAGCUGGAGAAGAAGCGCCGGCUAACUACGUG